UCACGUGAGCACACACUUUAUGUAAUGUUGCCGCACAUGUUCUGUCAGGGGCUCUUUGUGCUUCUUCUUCUUCCCACUUUGUCUCCGCCGGAGUCCGGAUCCGCUCCGUGCCAAGCGGGGUCUGCCCGCCCAUCCAUAAGGAUCUAACCCCGUCAGAAGAGGAGCUCCGUGACAUCUCUUCUCCCCACCUAUAGGACUCUGAUCAGCUGCUCGCUGUCACUGAUGCCGGGGCAAGGACUCCCCUCAUCAGCUGCUGUGCGGAGGAGGUUAUAGACUUUGUAUAAUAUGAGCCUCUGAUUACCCGCCCUGUGCUGUUUUAUGCUCUCGGCUUUAUUGUUCUUGGGUGGAGAGUUACCCUCCUGUGACCCAUGGAUGUCUUUAACUGCCUCUCCUGCCAGCAGGCCCUCUGGGACCCUGUAACUGUAAGAUGCGGCCAGUCUUUCUGCAAAAGGUGCUUGCGGGGGCCAGCAGUGGACAGGUGCCACGUUUGCAAGCAGAAGCUGAAGCCCAGGGGUGCCCAGGAGCUGAAAUGUAACACCCUUUUAUGCAACUUGCUGGAGAAGUGCCUGCAGAGCGAAACCAGACUGAACAGGGUGAGAAGCGACCUGCGCGAUCUGCUCUCACUCCAGGACCACGAAGAGGCAGCAAAAGUGGCCUCCAGAGGAGUUGCGAUGGCUGCUUGAAGAUCUUGGUUUUCCGGUGCCUUCAUCUCCUGAAGAGCUGUUAGACGAGGUCUCUCAUUACUUGAAGUCGUCCAGUCCAGACGCCGCUACCCUCAUAGCUCCUCUAAAAGCUGCAUCCAUUGAUUCAUGUGACACAAUAGCGAAUGUGAAGAGAUAAAGCACCCUCCUUUGUAGAUCACUUCAGAGGACAAACCUUUCCAGGCCCAAAAAUCCGUGAGAGGCCCAAAAAUCAGAGAAGGAGGAAAGAAGAAAAAAGACAAGCAUUAGAAGAACAAAAGUGAUACAAUGUUGCUGGAACAUGCAUUUAACAAACCUCCAUUAUACUUAUUAAUGCUCUUCUGCAUGUGUGUUUGUAAAUGGUCUGCAAUGUAUAUACUGAUCUUUACUUAAAGGUCAUGGGUUUUCAGAAUAAAACCUUAAACAAA
Spea bombifrons (plains spadefoot toad) is the source of this 1108-nucleotide RNA transcript. It is a transcript of the gene named LON peptidase N-terminal domain and RING finger protein 1-like, with no coding region annotated. The record is from RefSeq and is a predicted model, not a curated record. The transcript has 4 exons. NCBI's taxonomy places the organism in Eukaryota, Metazoa, Chordata, Amphibia, Anura, Pelobatidae.